RNAcentral lists this ribosomal RNA (305 nucleotides) under uncultured bacterium. RNAcentral describes it as "bacterial SSU rRNA". It matches the Rfam family "Bacterial small subunit ribosomal RNA", at positions 333 to 630 of the family's 1533-position model. The record is from RNAcentral.
CUGGGCCUACGGGGCGCAGCAGUGGGGAAUAUUGCACAAUGGGCGAAAGCCUGAUGGAGCAACGCCGCGUGGGUGAAGAAGGUCUUCGGAUCGUAAAACCCUGUUGUUAGAGAAGAAAGUGCGUGAGAGUAACUGUUCACGUUUCGACGGUAUCUGACCAGAAAGCCACGGCUAACUACGUGCCAGCAGCCGCGGUAAUACGUAGGUGGCAAGCGUUAUCCGGAUUUAUUGGGCGUAAAGGGAACGCAGGCGGUCUUUUAAGUCUGAUGUGAAAGCCUUCGGCUUAACCGGAGUAGGGCAUUGGG